This 492-nucleotide ribosomal RNA is filed under the name uncultured bacterium. RNAcentral's name for it is "partial 16S ribosomal RNA". It matches the Rfam family "Bacterial small subunit ribosomal RNA", at positions 29 to 507 of the family's 1533-position model. The record is from RNAcentral.
AGUGAACGCUGGCGGUAGGCCUAACACAUGCAAGUCGAACGGCAGCACAGUAAGAGCUUGCUCUUACGGGUGGCGAGUGGCGGACGGGUGAGGAAUACAUCGGAAUCUACUUUUUCGUGGGGGAUAACGUAGGGAAACUUACGCUAAUACCGCAUACGACCUACGGGUGAAAGCAGGGGAUCUUCGGACCUUGCGCGAUUGAAUGAGCCGAUGUCGGAUUAGCUAGUUGGCGGGGUAAAGGCCCACCAAGGCGACGAUCCGUAGCUGGUCUGAGAGGAUGAUCAGCCACACUGGAACUGAGACACGGUCCAGACUCCUACGGGAGGCAGCAGUGGGGAAUAUUGGACAAUGGGCGCAAGCCUGAUCCAGCCAUACCGCGUGGGUGAAGAAGGCCUUCGGGUUGUAAAGCCCUUUUGUUGGGAAAGAAAAGCAGCAGGUUAAUACCCCGCUGUCCUGACGGUACCCAAAGAAUAAGCACCGGCUAACUUCGUA